Molecule: ribosomal RNA, 405 nt
Filed under: uncultured prokaryote
Description: partial 16S ribosomal RNA
Source: RNAcentral
CCCUAUGGGGUGCACCAGGCGGUUCCACAUAACAACAGAGAGAAAUGAAAGUAGGCCUGCUACGAUUUUUACAUGGAUCCCUAUUUCUUCCAACCGGAAAAAGCGGAACUCCGGAUCGAUGGUGACAGUCGUCAUGAAAUCGGUCCCAUGCGUUUGUGAGAGGGCCAACGGCCCGGCGACAUACCAGCCUGGGGCAAGCGAAGCGUCGCCCCAGGUAUGCUUUGGGAAACGAUGAAGGGCUGAAGGCCCGAAACAAGUAUUCCUAAGAAACAUCAUGGUAUCGGUCCUUCAGACCUUGUUCUUGCUGGGGCCGCUUUCCAGGGGUUUCGCUGCGCUACACCCCUGGCUGGUAUGUUGCCGGGCCUUUGGCCCUGUAUCUUCUUUUGGGCUUACUGGCGGGAGGGC